UCUAAAAAAGGUCAAUAUGUAUCUAACUGCUUAUGAAUCACAAUAACAUGUUGUUGUCGUUCACGAAUCAAAUCUUACAAACAUUGAAGCAAUUCUGGAAGCUGUACAAAUUCCCACUGUGGCGGUGAAGGGAAGGAAACAAAAGGAAUGGACCCCUCAAUUCAAAGUGAGGAUGCAAGACGAUGAUGGGCCAAUAGAUGAUGCAAAAAAACUAAUAAUUCAAAUUGAAUGCAAAGAAGAGGACACAAGGAAGGAAAAGGUCAGCUGGAAGGAGAGAGAGA
Molecule: long non-coding RNA, 281 nt
Filed under: Amborella trichopoda
Lineage: Eukaryota; Viridiplantae; Streptophyta; Magnoliopsida; Amborellales; Amborellaceae
Description: long non-coding RNA (ATRI_LNC002651)
Source: RNAcentral